This is an unclassified non-coding RNA of Macaca fascicularis (crab-eating macaque), 150 nucleotides long. It matches the Rfam family "Metazoan signal recognition particle RNA". From Rfam's summary of the family: The signal recognition particle (SRP) is a universally conserved ribonucleoprotein. It is involved in the co-translational targeting of proteins to membranes. The record is from Ensembl. NCBI's taxonomy places the organism in Eukaryota, Metazoa, Chordata, Mammalia, Primates, Cercopithecidae.
GCCGGGCAUGGUGGCGGGUGCCUGUAGUCCCAGCUACUUAGGAGGCUGAGGCAGGAGAAUUGCUUGAACCCAGGAAACAGAGGUUGCAGUGAGCCGACAGAUCGCACCAGUGCACUCCAGCCUGGGUGACAGAGUGAGACCCUGUCUCAA